GGUGACGUGUCCGAGUGGCCAGGUGGGAGAUUGCAAAUCUUCUUAUGUGAGUUCGAUUCUCACCGUUAUCUCCA
Molecule: transfer RNA, 74 nt
Filed under: compost metagenome
Description: tRNA-Cys
Rfam family: tRNA
About the family: Transfer RNA (tRNA) molecules are approximately 80 nucleotides in length. Their secondary structure includes four short double-helical elements and three loops (D, anti-codon, and T loops). Further hydrogen bonds mediate the characteristic L-shaped molecular structure. tRNAs have two regions of fundamental functional importance: the anti-codon, which is responsible for specific mRNA codon recognition, and the 3' end, to which the tRNAs corresponding amino acid is attached (by aminoacyl-tRNA synthetases). tRNAs cope with the degeneracy of the genetic code in two manners: having more than one tRNA (with a specific anti-codon) for a particular amino acid; and 'wobble' base-pairing, i.e. permitting non-standard base-pairing at the 3rd anti-codon position.
Source: RNAcentral